Molecule: ribosomal RNA, 397 nt
Filed under: uncultured bacterium
Lineage: Bacteria
Description: partial 16S ribosomal RNA
Rfam family: Bacterial small subunit ribosomal RNA
Source: RNAcentral
AUACGUAGGGGGCGAGCGUUGUCCGGAAUGAUUGGGCGUAAAGGGCGCGUAGGCGGCCCGGUAAGUCUGGAGUGAAAGUCCUGCUUUUAAGGUGGGAAUUGCUUUGGGUACUGUCGGGCUUGAGUGCAGGAGAGGUAAGUGGAAUUCCCAGUGUAGCGGUGAAAUGCGUAGAGAUUGGGAGGAACACCAGUGGCGAAGGCGACUUACUGGACUGUAACUGACGCUGAGGCGCGAAAGUGUGGGGAGCAAACAGGAUUAGAUACCCUGGUAGUCCACACUGUAAACGAUGAAUGCUAGGUGUAGGGGGUAUCGACCCCUUCUGUGCCGCAGUUAACACAAUAAGCAUUCCGCCUGGGGAGUACGGCCGCAAGGUUGAAACUCAAAUGAAUUGACGGGG